This 75-nucleotide transfer RNA is filed under the name Terrimicrobium sacchariphilum. RNAcentral describes it as "tRNA-Lys". It matches the Rfam family "tRNA". Rfam says of the family: Transfer RNA (tRNA) molecules are approximately 80 nucleotides in length. Their secondary structure includes four short double-helical elements and three loops (D, anti-codon, and T loops). Further hydrogen bonds mediate the characteristic L-shaped molecular structure. tRNAs have two regions of fundamental functional importance: the anti-codon, which is responsible for specific mRNA codon recognition, and the 3' end, to which the tRNAs corresponding amino acid is attached (by aminoacyl-tRNA synthetases). tRNAs cope with the degeneracy of the genetic code in two manners: having more than one tRNA (with a specific anti-codon) for a particular amino acid; and 'wobble' base-pairing, i.e. permitting non-standard base-pairing at the 3rd anti-codon position. The record is from RNAcentral. RNAcentral also lists the same sequence under 6 other names. Lineage: Bacteria; Pseudomonadati; Verrucomicrobiota; Terrimicrobiia; Terrimicrobiales; Terrimicrobiaceae.
GCAUCGCUAGCUCAAUGGUAGAGCAGGAGACUCUUAAUCUCUUGGUUGUAGGUUCGAGUCCUACGCGAUGCACCA